AUCGCGUAGCGCGCACCCAGCCCGCCCCGCCGCGCCCGCCGCCCUCGCCGCCGUCUCCUCCUCAGGCGCCUGUCGCGGCCGGUAAGUCCCUGCUGGCGGAGCAGCGGCGGUCCCUGAGUCAACUUUCAGUCACCCCUUUGCUUCUGCCUCGCCAUUCUCUUCUCUGCUAACGAUGGCUGUGGGGCGAAGAGGGAGAAGUUAGGGGGUCGUCGGAGCGGGGCGAAGGAGGGCGCGAUAGCCCUGGCGGGAGCGGGCGGAGGUUCCACCUAGACCAGCUUCUCGUGGACCAGCAUUGCCAACUAACAGAAGGCUGUGAGUCGCAUCUUGGCCCAUCAAUCCUUCUCCUUAUUCCCAUGAUGAGUUCACCAGUGCGGUCCGGUCAGUCUGGUUGCUUUUUAAACUUUAAACAAAUUUAGUAUGAAAGAUGUUGUUUUGUAUUGCUUCAAGUUAAGCAAUUUAAAUUGUGAAAUAACUUUUUUUUCCUGAUGAAGUUUGGUCGAUAUAAUGAAUUUUGAACUGUGUUCUAUAGCCAAUCCUCUAUUACAUAACCAGUUUGCAGUGUAGGCAAUUAAUUUCAUUUGCUUUGUUAUCUGAGCAGUAGACUUUAAUUCCUCUGCUGCAAAUGCAACAUUUGGGGUGAAUUUUAUGAAGUUAUAAACAUUUAUUAAAUAUGACAUAGGCAUCUAACUCUACAUCCAUAGUCUUCUGACCAAAUACCUGUCUGUAUGCUUUUUAAAUGGUGUCAUGGGCUUUGCAAGUCAGCUUGUGAAUUUACUCCUCUUCCAUCUCUGUGACACACAGGAAGGAUAUUUUUCUUCUCCACCCUUCUUUGCUGCCACUCCUGUUUCCUAUAUACAUAUUUAAUUAUAAUCUCAACACCUGCUUCCUCUGAGUCCAGUUGAUGUGUGGCUCAUGUAGUGUUGUGAUCAGCACAGCCAACACCCAUUUCUCCAGGAACAGGGUGUCACUUUUGGAACAAACACGAUCCAAAUCUUCAGAAUGAUGGAAUAGCUUCAGAUAUCACAUGUUAAACAUAGACAAAUUUAAAAAGAAUUUUCUGUUUGGAUCAUUAUGGGAGUAUUUAUUUCUGUGUAUUCUUUAAAAAUAUUUCAGCAUAUUGAUAUCCUUGAGUUAUCCAACUCCUGAGGUUGAAGCUAGUAGAAUAUUUUACUCAGCUUAUAAAGGGAAAUCUUUUGCCAAGAUUUUCACUCUGUGGAAGGCUGGCCACACCCAGAUCAGCUGCUCUGAAAUUUCAGUGUCUCAUCAGGCUUCUCCACAUCCCCAGCAAGUUGCCAGUUUCUGUGUUGAAUUUGGAACUAGAAAUUAUUGGAGAGUGUAACAGUAUUUGUUCAUUCUAAAUGAUGUAGUAGAGAUAUUCCAGAAUCUUUAGUCACAGUCAUGAUUUAUAAUUGGCAUUAUUAUCUGAAUAAGAGAUGAAGUUACCUAGGC
This 1449-nucleotide long non-coding RNA is filed under the name Capra hircus (goat). RNAcentral describes it as "lncRNA (ENSCHIG00000007514.1)". Lineage: Eukaryota; Metazoa; Chordata; Mammalia; Artiodactyla; Bovidae. The record is from RNAcentral.